CACUUAAAUAGAAAAGAUCCUCAAAACCUGGUCGUAAAUCUCCAAUUUCUGAUAAAUAGCUAUAAACAGGAAAAAAUUAGUAGUCUCUCCCUUGCAUAAUUAGAUACUUUCUUUCCGCUGCAUCCGAAAUUCUGCAUUUAACUCUCCCGUUCAACCAAUAAAGUCAUUUUUAUGAUAAACAGGGGCUAAUUAUUCAAUUUUAUUUCUAUUUUAUUUUCCAUGAUGAUAAGGACUUUUUACUAUUAUGUGUUUUUGAGGUUUUUCAUGACAAACACAAGACGCUAAUCGUCGUCAUGGUUUAGCAUAAAUCGUCGAAGUGUGUGGUAUAUUUGAAUGAUAAAUUACUCAGGGUUGUUGAAUUUUACAUCAUUUUAAAAAAAUC
RNAcentral lists this long non-coding RNA (382 nucleotides) under Mytilus galloprovincialis (Mediterranean mussel). The record is from RNAcentral. Lineage: Eukaryota; Metazoa; Mollusca; Bivalvia; Mytilida; Mytilidae.